GCAGUAUGUAUGACGAAUCCUAUGAGACACAUGGAUAAAGUGAGGACUGGACAAAUAUUUAUCACAUGAAUGAAUGAAUGAAUGAAUGAGGGUGUGGGUGAGUAAGUGGCUGCAUGAAUGAGCAGACACACCCUUAGAGAAUGAGAUGGCUUCCUAAUCCAGGAUACUGAGUGCGCUCAAAGAAUGUCAUUUGGGGCUUUCCUAGUGAGCGCUCCAUGACGGAGCCAUACCCUCUUCUUUUCCUCGAGCCCCAUAUGUCUUAUUUUCUCCCCAACUUCAUUGUGGGGGACUAUGUCCUAGACUCCUUUGGGAACAAAUAUGCUAGACUCAAUAUGUGGUAUAUAGUAGUUGCCCAAUAAAUGUGUGAUGAACUGAAGUGGAAGAUAAAUAAGACUUGGACCCUUACACUUACACCCUCUCUCACUUACAAUUUAGUGAGAGAGAAAUCAUAGGCAUAUAAGUACUAUAUGACAAAGCAUCACAGGUAACUGGUACCAAAAAAGAGCCAAGGAAUAUAUGCUAUAGGUCAGAGCUGAGAAAACUUACUAUGGGUUGAAAAAGCAAGGGAAUGCUUCAUGAAGGAAGGGAAUGAGGUUUAAAGGCUACACCCUGAAGGAAGAGAAAGAUUCGGAGGCAAGGGAGAAGGUGAUGCUGAUAGGGGCAAAGGGCUGUGCCCAGGAGGAAGGCCAGUUCAGAAAACCUGAGUAGAUUUAGUGUAGCUGGACAGCAGAUUCAAGCAGAAGAGUGCGGCAUGUGCCACAAGUAGGUGGUGGCGACUGUAGGAGAAGGGAUUUGGAUCCGGAAGCUAGUGAGGGCGUUUGAGCAGUGGAAGGAAGUGCAAGGAAUGCUGUGAGGCGUGGAAAGAUGAUCUGGAGGAGACAGACAGAUGUGGCCUUCCUGGACCUCUCUGUCAUUAUGCAGAGAACGACCAGGGACAUGUCCAAGAUGCACCUUCUAAUGAGAUAUGUGAGCUUGGGAGCAUGAAGCCGCCAGCGAACGUUCCCUGGAGGCCACUGGGCAUUCAUCUUGACAUUUAUAAAUAUUCUGCUUAAUCGUCAUAAUAAUUCAUAAGGGUAGGUACUAUUAUUUUUCUCACUGUGUCAUUGGCCAGAUCUCAAUCACGCAGCUGCAAAGGAGUCUGGGAAAUAGAGACUCUUCUCUGGGUACAGUGCCAUCUCAAAUAAAAUCAGGACACUCUUACCAAGGAAAAAAGGGAGAAGGAAUGCUGGCUUAAAUAUUUAGAAGCGUCUGCUUUGGGCACCUCGUCCAUCUGUAAUUCUGUGGCAAUUUGUCUCUUGGAGAAGAAAAUGAGAAAAUGGUUGCAAAGUGCUCAACAAAAUGCUUUGCUCAGGCUGUGUACUCAAAACAUGCUAGCUGGGGCUUCCCUGAUGGUGCAGUGGUUAAGAAUCCACCUGCCAAUGCAGGGGACACAGGUUCGAUCCCUGGUCGGGGGAGAUCCCACCUGCUGCAGAGCA
Molecule: long non-coding RNA, 1475 nt
Organism: Aethalodelphis obliquidens (Pacific white-sided dolphin)
Lineage: Eukaryota; Metazoa; Chordata; Mammalia; Artiodactyla; Delphinidae
Exons: 3
Source: RefSeq, a predicted model, not a curated record